RNAcentral lists this transfer RNA (102 nucleotides) under Spinacia oleracea (spinach). Its description in RNAcentral is "partial transfer RNA". It matches the Rfam family "tRNA". Rfam says of the family: Transfer RNA (tRNA) molecules are approximately 80 nucleotides in length. Their secondary structure includes four short double-helical elements and three loops (D, anti-codon, and T loops). The record is from RNAcentral. Lineage: Eukaryota; Viridiplantae; Streptophyta; Magnoliopsida; Caryophyllales; Amaranthaceae.
ACUUAUGGUGGAGAGAUGGCUGAGUGGUUGAUAGCUCCGGUCUUGAAAACCGGCAUAGUUCUUUAUUCAGAACUAUCGAGGGUUCGAAUCCCUCUCUCUCCU